This 609-nucleotide ribosomal RNA is filed under the name uncultured Thermoplasmatales archaeon. RNAcentral describes it as "bacterial SSU rRNA". It matches the Rfam family "Archaeal small subunit ribosomal RNA", at positions 10 to 624 of the family's 1478-position model. Lineage: Archaea; Methanobacteriati; Thermoplasmatota; Thermoplasmata; Thermoplasmatales. The record is from RNAcentral.
GAUCCUGCCGGCGGGCACCGCUAUUGGAGUUCGCUUAAGCCAUGCGAGUCGAGAGGGGUAAGCCCUCGGCGCACUGCUCAGUAACACGCGGACAAUCUGCCCUCGAGACGGGGAUAAUCCCGGGAAACUGGGAAUAAUACCCGAUAGGUCUGGGAUGAUGGAAGGCUCCCUGGCCAAAAUCUUCCGGGGCUCGAGGAUGGGUCUGCGGCCUAUCAGGUCGUAGGGGGCUUUACGGACCCCCUAGCCGAAGACGGGUACGGGCUUUGGGAGAAGUCGCCCGGAGAUGGAUUCUGAGACACGAAUCCAGGUCCUACGGGACGCAGCAGGCGCGAAACCUCCACAAUGUGGGCAACCACGAUGGGGGAACUCCAAGUGCUUACACUUUUGUGUAAGCUGUUCUCGAGCCUAAAAAGCUCGAGAAGUAAGGGCCGGGUAAGACGGGUGCCAGCCGCCGCGGUAAUACCCGCGGCCCGAGUGGUGCUCAUUAUUAUUGAGCCUAAAGCGUCCGUAGCUGGCCGGGCAAAUCUCCGGGUAAAUCGGGCCGCUCAACGGUCCGAAUUCCGGAGACACUGCUCGGCUUGGGAUCGGGAGAGGGUGAAGUACUCCCGG